Molecule: non-coding RNA, 29 nt
Filed under: Rattus norvegicus (Norway rat)
Lineage: Eukaryota; Metazoa; Chordata; Mammalia; Rodentia; Muridae
Source: RNAcentral
UAGUUGAUCCUCCGCACAUGGUGAACACU